RNAcentral lists this ribosomal RNA (445 nucleotides) under uncultured bacterium. Its description in RNAcentral is "partial 16S ribosomal RNA". It matches the Rfam family "Bacterial small subunit ribosomal RNA", at positions 354 to 796 of the family's 1533-position model. The record is from RNAcentral.
GUGAGGAAUAUUGGACAAUGGGCGCAAGCCUGAUCCAGCCAUGCCGCGUGCAGGAAGACGCAUCUAUGGUGUGUAAACUGCUUUUGUACGGGAAGAAACACUCCCUCGUGAGGGAGCUUGAUGGUACCGUAAGAAUAAGGAUCGGCUAACUCCGUGCCAGCAGCCGCGGUAAUACGGAGGAUCCAAGCGUUAUCCGGAAUCAUUGGGUUUAAAGGGUCCGUAGGCGGUUUAAUAAGUCAGUGGUGAAAGCCCAUCGCUCAACGAUGGAACGGCCAUUGAUACUGUUAGACUUGAAUUACAAGGAAGUAACUAGAAUAUGUAGUGUAGCGGUGAAAUGCUUAGAUAUUACAUGGAAUACCAAUUGCGAAGGCAGGUUACUACUUGUGGAUUGACGCUGAUGGACGAAAGCGUGGGGAGCGAACAGGAUUAGAAACCCCAGUAGUCC